AUUGAACGCUGGCGGCGUGCCUAAUACAUGCAAGUCGAACGCAGUGGGGACGGGUGAGUAACACGUGGGUAACCUCCCAUCAGAGGGGAUAACACUUGGAAACAGGUGCUAAACCGAUACUAUCAGAUGAACACAGAUGGGAUUAGCUAGUAGGGGUGGUAAAGGCUCACCUAGGCGACGAUCUCUAGCUGGUCUGAGAGGUUGAUCAGCCCAACUGGGAUUGAGACACGGCCCAGACGCCUACGGUAGGCAGCAGUAGGGAAUCUUCGGCAAUGGACGAAAGUCUGACCGAGCAACGCCGCGUGAGUGAAGAAGGUUUUCGGAUCGUAAAACUCUGUUGUUAGAGAAGCGGUAUCUAACCAGAAAGCCACGGCUAACUACGUGCCAGCAGCCGCGGUAAUAC
Molecule: ribosomal RNA, 403 nt
Filed under: uncultured bacterium
Lineage: Bacteria
Description: partial 16S ribosomal RNA
Rfam family: Bacterial small subunit ribosomal RNA
Source: RNAcentral